This 68-nucleotide transfer RNA is filed under the name Marmota monax (woodchuck). RNAcentral describes it as "tRNA.Ala". The stretch from base 5 to 65 matches the Rfam family "tRNA", at positions 6 to 65 of the family's 71-position model. Rfam says of the family: Transfer RNA (tRNA) molecules are approximately 80 nucleotides in length. Their secondary structure includes four short double-helical elements and three loops (D, anti-codon, and T loops). Lineage: Eukaryota; Metazoa; Chordata; Mammalia; Rodentia; Sciuridae. The record is from RNAcentral.
GGACUGUGGCUCAGUGGUAGAGCAGUCACCUGGCAUGUGUAAGGUACUGGGUUCGAUCCUUAGCACCA